GAUGAAGAACGUAGUGAAAUGCGAUACGUAAUGUGAAUUGCAGAAUUCAGUGAAUCAUCGAGUCUUUGAACGCACAUUGCGCCCCCUGGUAUUCCGGGGGGCAUGCCUGUCCGAGCGUCAUUGCUGCCCUCAAGCACGGCUUGUGUGUUGGGCCUCCGCCCCCCGGCUCCCGGGGGGCGGGCCCGAAAGGCAGCGGCGGCACCGCGUCCGGUCCUCGAGCGUAUGGGGCUUCGUCACCCGCUCUUGUAGGCCCGGCCGGCGCUUGCCGACACAUCAAUCUUUUUUCCAGGUUGACCUCGGAUCAGGUAGGGAUACCCGCUGAACUUAAGCAUAUCAAUAAGCGAGGA
RNAcentral lists this unclassified non-coding RNA (347 nucleotides) under soil metagenome. RNAcentral's name for it is "partial contains 5.8S ribosomal RNA, internal transcribed spacer 2, and large subunit ribosomal RNA". The stretch from base 1 to 120 matches the Rfam family "5.8S ribosomal RNA", at positions 35 to 154 of the family's 154-position model. The record is from RNAcentral.